ACAUCUCGGCAAUGGAUAUCUCUGCUCUUGCCACUAUGAAGAAUGUAGCGAAAUGUGAUACUUAGUGUGAAUUGCAUAAUCCCAUGAAUCAUUGAGUCUUUGAAUGCAAGUUGUGCCUGAGGCCUUAGCCGAGGGCACGUCUGCUUGGGUGUUG
Molecule: ribosomal RNA, 154 nt
Organism: Cryptomeria japonica (Japanese cedar)
Lineage: Eukaryota; Viridiplantae; Streptophyta; Pinopsida; Cupressales; Cupressaceae
Product: 5.8S ribosomal RNA
Exons: 1
Source: RefSeq, a predicted model, not a curated record